GAUGAACGCUGGCGGCGUGCCUAAUACAUGCAAGUCGAGCGAACAGACGAGGAGCUUGCUCCUCUGACGUUAGCGGCGGACGGGUGAGUAACACGUGGAUCACCUACCUAUCAGACUGGGAUAACUUCGGGAAACCGGAGCUAAUACCGGAUAAUAUAUUGAACCGCAUGGUUCAAUAGUGAAAGACGGUUUUGCUGUCACUUAUAGAUGGAUCCGCGCCGCAGGAGCUAGUUGGUAAGGUAACGGGUUACCACGGCGACGAUGCGUAGCCGACCUGAGAGGGGGAUCGGCCGCACGGGAGCUGAGACACGGUCAAGACGCCUACGGGAGGCAGCAGUAGGGAAUCUGCCGCAAUGGGGGAAAGCCUGACGGAGCAACGCCGCGUGAGUGAUGAAGGUCUUCGGAUCGUAAAACUCGGUUAUUAGGGAAGAACAAAUGUGUAAGUAACUAUGCACGUCUUGACGGUACCUAAUCAGAAAGCAACGGCUAACUACGUG
RNAcentral lists this ribosomal RNA (497 nucleotides) under uncultured bacterium. RNAcentral describes it as "partial 16S ribosomal RNA". It matches the Rfam family "Bacterial small subunit ribosomal RNA", at positions 28 to 507 of the family's 1533-position model. The record is from RNAcentral.